UUUUGUGUUUUUUUUGCAGCAUGAUUUUAGUUUAAUGAAUACGAAAGUCUUUGCGAACCUAAAAGGCUCUGGCGGUAACAUAUGGGAAGUCUUUGAAGUUUUAGAUGAUGCCCGACGUGCUAUUUUCAGAAAUACCGUCUUUGGCUAUUUUAUUGAUGUCCCUCGUUUACAAGGGGACGCUUUAUUGUUUUAUAAAAUGUUCCUUCAUCAGAUCCGGCCGGACCCUGUUUUAUCACCAGAUGGAAUAAAACGUUUAUAUUUUCGAGUAGGCAAUACCAAAAUGGUUUAUGGGCCGGAAGAGUUUUGUUUGAUUACCGGCUUCAAUUUUGGGGAGUAUCCAAAAAACAUUGGGAGAAAAGGGUCGGAAAAAUUAAUAAGCAGUAAAAAAAAGAUGUUUACUGCGUGAACGGCUAUUUCCGGACCAUACUAAUAGUUCGGUGAAAAUCGGCGACCUGAAAAGUUUAAUUUUAAAUCAAACAUUCCUAGCACUUGACGACCUUGAUGCAGUUAGAGUAUGUUUGAUAUACAUUUUGUGUGAAUGUUUUUUGGGCAAAGAAGUUAACGAUCGGGUGCCACAAGAUUGGUUUUAUUUGGCUGAGAAUUUGGAUCUCUGGAAUAGGUAUAUUUUCUUUACGUUAAAAGUUCUAUUUUAUUAAAGUUAUAAUUUAUAUAAUAAUCAAUUUUGUUUUUUUUGUUUUGUUAGCUUCGCUUGGGGUAGCUAUCUAUGGGAUUUAGUUAUGUUGACCUUAAGGAUACGUGGAAUAAGAUACAUCAUUAUUUAUCACUUCCUGAGCGUGGUCAAACUUUAAAGUAUUCCGUCUCAGGAUUUACGGCUCCAAUUAGGAUAUGGAUAUAUGAGAUGAUUCCGGCUGUUCGUGCAUGUGGAUUUGCAUUGAGAAAAAAUAAAGACUUGCCUCGGAUGAAAAGAUGGAGCGGAACAAAAAAAUUGAAAUGGGUUGACGUGAACAAGAUUUGGUCAAAGAUGCAGGUUUAAAAAUAUUUCGUUUAUUAUUAAUAAAGUUGAUUAUUAUAGUUUUAUAUGCAUUUUUAAUAUGUUUAAUUUUUUA
Non-coding RNA from Lactuca sativa (garden lettuce), 1067 nucleotides. The record is from RefSeq and is a predicted model, not a curated record. Lineage: Eukaryota; Viridiplantae; Streptophyta; Magnoliopsida; Asterales; Asteraceae.